AACGAACGCUGGCGGCGCGCUUAACACAUGCAAGUCGAACGAGAAGGCGUAGCAAUACGCUUGUACAGUGGCGAACGGGUGAGUAAUACGUGGGCGACCUACCCUCGAGUGGGGAAUAACCCGCCGAAAGGCGGGCUAAUGCCGCGUACGCCUCCAUCUUUAUGAAGGUGGAAGGAAAGCCGUGCCGUGGGCACGGCGCUCAAGGAUGGGCUCACGUCCUAUCAGCUUGUUGGAGGGUAACGGCCUACCAAGGCUCCGACGGGUAGCUGGUCUGAGAGGACGAUCAGCCACACUGGCACUGCGACACGGGCCAGACUCCUACGGGAGGCAGCAGUGAGGAGUAUUGCGCAAUGGGCGAAAGCCUGACGCAGCGACGCCGCGUGGGGGAUGAAGGUCUUCGGAUUGUAAACCCCUUUCGGGAGGGAAGAUGGGACGGGCGAACCGUUCGGACGGUACCUCCAGAAGCAGCCACGGCUAACUUCGUGCCAGCCGCCGCCGU
This 499-nucleotide ribosomal RNA is filed under the name uncultured bacterium. Its description in RNAcentral is "bacterial SSU rRNA". It matches the Rfam family "Bacterial small subunit ribosomal RNA", at positions 28 to 521 of the family's 1533-position model. The record is from RNAcentral.